UAGUCAUAUGCUUGUCUCAGAGAUUAAGCCAUGCAUGUCUAAGUACAGACCUUUAAACGGUGAAACCGCGAAUGGCUCAUUAAAUCAGCUAUGGUUCCUUAGAUCGUACAUACUACAUGGAUAACUGUAGUAAUUCUAGAGCUAAUACAUGCAAAUAUGCCCUGACCCGCGAGGGGACGGGUGCUUUUAUUAGAACAGAACCAACGUUUGCAUUCUGUGAUGACUCUGGAUAACUUCGAUGAUCGCAGUCGGCCAUGUGUCGGCGACGGAUCUUUCAAGUGUCUGCCCUAUCAACUUUCGAUGGUAGGUGACCUGCCUACCAUGGUGAUAACGGGUAACGGGGAAUCAGGGUUCGAUUCCGGAGAGGGAGCCUGAGAAACGGCUACCACAUCCAAGGAAGGCAGCAGGCGCGUAAAUUACCCACUCCCAGCACGGGGAGGUAGUGACGAAAAAUACGGAUGCGGGACUCUUUAGAGGCUCCGUAAUUCGAAUGAGUACACUUUAAAUCCUUUAACGAGGAUCAACUGGAGGGCAAGUCUGGUGCCAGCAGCCGCGGUAACUCCAGCUCCAGAAGCGUAUAUUAAAGUUGUUGCAGUUAAAAAGCUCGUAGUUGGAUCUGGGUCGCAUGGCUUCAUAUCGUGGCCUAUUUGCGGGUGGUGUAUACUGCUCUCAUUUGGGUCGAUGUUGGGGCCGUGCAGCCUUUCAGUCGUGUCUGUGUUAACAGGUGUUGGCUAGGUCGGUGGGUUUUCUCGCUGAUCUGUCAGCAUGCUUCCAGAUGCCUUUAAACGGGUGUCGGGAGCGGACGACACGUUUACUUUGAACAAAUUUGAGUGCUCAAAGCAGGCCUGUGUGCCUAAAAAGUCUUGCAUGGAAUAAUGGAAUAGGACUUCGGUUCUAUUUUGUUGGUUUUCGGAUCCGAAGUAAUGGUUAAGAGGGACAGACGGGGGCAUUUGAAUGGCGGUGUUAGAGGUGAAAUUCUUGGAUCGCCGCCAGUCAAGCUACAGCGAAAGCAUUUGCCAAGAAUGUUUUCAUUGAUCAGGAGCGAAAGUCAGAGGUUCGAAGACGAUCAGAUACCGUCCUAGUUCUGACCAUAAACGAUGCCAACUGACGAUCCGUGGUGGUUCUAUUUUUGGCCCCGCGGGCAGUCUCCGGAAAACCCUUAAGUCUUUGGGCUCCGGGGGAAGUAUGGUUGCAAAGCUGAAACUUAAAGGAAUUGACGGAAGGGCACCACCAGGAGUGGAGCCUGCGGCUUAAUUCGACUCAACACGGGAAAACUCACCCGGCCCGGACACUGUGAGGAUUGACAGAUUGAUAGCUCUUUCUUGAUUCGGUGGUUGGUGGUGCAUGGCCGUUCUUAGUUGGUGGAGCGAUUUGUCUGGUUAAUUCCGAUAACGAACGAGACUUUCACCUGCUAAAUAGUACAUCUGUUCUCUGUGCUUGUCUAGGGACCGUCGUACACUGCCUCUUCCUGGGGUGGUGUUGUCGUUUCCCGGUGAGUACGGCGCAGAUGUUUACUUCUUAGAGGGACAAGCGGCUCGGCAGUCGCACGAAAUUGAGCAAUAACAGGUCUGUGAUGCCCUUAGAUGUCCGGGGCCGCACGUGCGCUACAAUGACGGUGCCAGCGAGUCUGGAAUCCUGGCCCGAAAGGGUCGGGCAAACUGUUUCAUCACCGUCGUGACUGGGAUCGGGGCUUGCAAUUGUUCCCCGUGAACGAGGAAUUCCUGGUAAGUGCGAGUCAUAAGCUCGCGCUGAUUACGUCCCUGCCCUUUGUACACACCGCCCGUCGCUACUACCGAUUGAAUGGUUUAGCAAGGUCCUCGGAUUGGUCCAAUUGUAGUGGUUUCUGCCGCUCGACCGUGGCUGAGAAGACACCAAACUUGAUCAUUUAGA
RNAcentral lists this ribosomal RNA (1890 nucleotides) under Paucivitellosus fragilis. Its description in RNAcentral is "SSU rRNA". It matches the Rfam family "Eukaryotic small subunit ribosomal RNA". The record is from RNAcentral. Lineage: Eukaryota; Metazoa; Platyhelminthes; Trematoda; Azygiida.